RNAcentral lists this ribosomal RNA (253 nucleotides) under uncultured bacterium. RNAcentral's name for it is "partial 16S ribosomal RNA". It matches the Rfam family "Bacterial small subunit ribosomal RNA", at positions 524 to 776 of the family's 1533-position model. The record is from RNAcentral.
UACGUAGGGGGCAAGCGUUGUCCGGAAUCAUUGGGCGUAAAGCGCGUGUAGGCGGCCCGGUAAGUCCGCUGUGAAAGUCCAGGGCUCAACCCUGGGAUGCCGGUGGAUACUGUCGGGCUCGAGUCCGGAAGAGGAGUGUGGAAUUCCUGGUGUAGCGGUGAAAUGCGCAGAUAUCAGGAGGAACACCGAUGGCGAAGGCAGCACUCUGGGACGUGACUGACACUCAUGAGCGAAAGCGUGGGGAGCGAUCCGG